This 255-nucleotide ribosomal RNA is filed under the name uncultured bacterium. RNAcentral's name for it is "partial 16S ribosomal RNA". It matches the Rfam family "Bacterial small subunit ribosomal RNA", at positions 524 to 776 of the family's 1533-position model. The record is from RNAcentral.
UACGUAGGGAGCAAGCGUUGUCCGGAAUCAUUGGGCGUAAAGCGCGCGUAGGUGGUCCCGUAAGUCCGCUGUGAAAGGUCAAAGGCUCAACCUUUGAAAGCCGGUGGAUACUGUGGGACUAGAGUACGGGAAGAGGCGAGUGGAAUUCCUGGUGUAGCGGUGGAAUGCGCAGAUAUCAGGAGGAACACCAAUAGCGAAGGCAGCUCGCUGGGACGUUACUGACACUGAGGCGCGAAAGCGUGGGGAGCGAACAGG